RNAcentral lists this ribosomal RNA (467 nucleotides) under uncultured bacterium. RNAcentral describes it as "partial 16S ribosomal RNA". It matches the Rfam family "Bacterial small subunit ribosomal RNA", at positions 28 to 506 of the family's 1533-position model. The record is from RNAcentral.
GACGAACGCUGGCGGCGUGCUUAACACAUGCAAGUCGAACGGAAAGGCCCUGCUUUUGUGGGGUGCUCGAGUGGCGAACGGGUGAGUAACACGUGAGUAACCUGCCCUUGACUUUGGGAUAACUUCAGGAAACUGGGGCUAAUACCGGAUAGGAGCUCCUGCUGCAUGGUGGGGGUUGGAAAGUUUCGGCGGUUGGGGAUGGACUCGCGGCUUAUCAGCUUGUUGGUGGGGUAGUGGCUUACCAAGGGUUUGACGGGUAGCCGGCCUGAGGGGGUGACCGGCCACAUUGGGACUUGGGAACGGCCCAGACCCCUAGGGGGGGGAGGGGGGGGAAAUUUUGCAAAAUGGGGGGAGGCCUGAUGCAGCAACGCCGGGUGGGGGAUGGCGGCCUUCGGGUUGUAAACCGCUUUCGCCUGUGACGAAGCGUGGGUGACGGUAAUGGGUAAAGAAGCACCGGCUAACUACGU